Molecule: non-coding RNA, 453 nt
Organism: Kogia breviceps (pygmy sperm whale)
Lineage: Eukaryota; Metazoa; Chordata; Mammalia; Artiodactyla; Physeteridae
Source: RefSeq, a predicted model, not a curated record
CUUCAAGUGCUAAAUAAGGGAGGUGAGUGUAAAGGACUCAGAAAGAAUGCGGUGCUGCAGAGGUCACGGUUGAGAGCCGGGCUCUGGGGUUUAGGUUCCCACCGGUCCAAUCUCUGUGUGACCUUGACCAAGCGACGGGACCCCUCAGAGCCUUCGUUUCUCCCUUGUUAAGCGCUGAUGGUACAACACUAAAAGACACGCUAUUUUUUUGCUGGAGGAAGCUUACCUCCUAAUUGAAUACUCACUGGAUACUGAGACAAGGAAACAUACCAGUUCAAUAGUGUUGGGUCUCUCUCUUCCCUGAGACACAACAAUAUUGAAAUUAGGCCAGUUAAUAAUCCUACAAUGGCCUCUAAGUGUCCACAUGAAAGGAAGAGUCUCAUGUCUGUCAUUUUAAGUCAAACACUAGAAAUGAUGAAUCUUAGUGAGGAAGGCAAGUCAAAAGCAUAGAUA